GCGCUUGCUGUCCACAAGGGGUGCGUCAUACUUACGUACUCCAGCUUCUACAAGGUCAUGAGUAUCAAUCAGAUCAGCUAGUGACUCAAUGAAGAGUCCAAACGACUCCGUAGAUAAAGGACACCCUUGCUUCACGCCUUGCUUAGACUGAAACUCUCCCCCCACUUUAUCAUUUACCUUAAUCACCAUGGACACCUUCUCGUACGCUUUUCUCAGAGCAUCUAGCAUGGGGCCGCUAAUCCCCUUUUCCUGCAACCGAAGCCACAUGUGCUCGCGAGGCACCCAAUGUAAGAAGGGAUCAGCUCCCCUGGCAUCUCCCUGAGUACUCUUCGCCUGGUGUUACAUUGGUGCGAAUUGCUAGGAGAUGGGAACUUCCCGGAUCAAAUUCAGUUGCGAAUAUAUCGCACACCAGGCACGAUGCAGCAUACUCUUCCCCAAAUGUGGAUGCCCGGGUGGGCGAGAAGUCUACCAGCUGUGUAAAAAAGAAGUCCUUCAUCUCGGACUGGGACUGACGAAAUGUCACAGUAGUAACCAAACUCACAAUCCUACGGGAUCUCAAACAACCUAAAUCCUACGGGGUAUGGCCAGGGGCGCCCGAGGACGUUUGCUCGAGGGGGGGAGGAAUAUAAGAAGGGAUCAGCUCCCCUGGCAUCUCCCUGAGUACUCCUUGCCUGGUGUUACACCCUAUCAAAGGCCUUCUCAAAGUCAAUCUGUACUAUUAUCAACGGCGGCUGCCCCGCGAUCCGAUGCCGCCUGACCAGGUGUUGCUUGACAAAGAGGUGAUGAGCGGUGCCAAAACCCCGCCUGAAACCCGCUUGGCAUGGGUGCCGCAGGUCCAGUAUUUCCCCAGCACGUACCAGACGGUUAAGAAUCACUGACGCAUAGCACUUCGCAAGUGCUCCUCCAACUGCAAUGCC
RNAcentral lists this long non-coding RNA (917 nucleotides) under Volvox carteri. RNAcentral's name for it is "long non-coding RNA (VCAR_LNC001692)". Lineage: Eukaryota; Viridiplantae; Chlorophyta; Chlorophyceae; Chlamydomonadales; Volvocaceae. The record is from RNAcentral.